AGAGUUUGAUCAUGGCUCAGAUUGAACGCUGGCGGCAUGCCUAACACAUGCAAGUCGAACGGAAACGAUGCUAGCUUGCUAGUAGGCGUCGAGUGGCGGACGGGUGAGUAAUGUAUAGGAACUUGCCCAGUAGUGGGGGACAACUUAUGGAAACGUAAGCUAAUACCGCAUAAUCUCUACGGAGGAAAGCAGGGGCUCUUUGGACCUUGUGCUACUGGAUAGGCCUAUAUUGGAUUAGCUAGUUGGUGAGGUAAAGGCUCACCAAGGCGACGAUCCAUAGCUGGUUUGAGAGAAUGAUCAGCCACACUGGGACUGAGACACGGCCCAGACUCCUACGGGAGGCAGCAGUGGGGAAUAUUGCACAAUGGAGGAAACUCUGAUGCAGCAAUGCCGCGUGUGUGAAGAAGGCCUUAGGGUUGUAAAGCACUUUCAAUAGGGAGGAAAAGUAAGUAGUUAAUACCUGCUUACCGUGACGUUACCUAUAGAAGAAGGACCGGCUAACUCCGUGCCAGCAGCCGCGGUAAUACGGAGGGUCCGAGCGUUAAUCGGAAUUACUGGGCGUAAAGCGCGCGUAGGCGGAUAUAUAAGUCAGAUGUGAAAGCCCUGGGCUCAACCUAGGAACUGCAUUUGAAACUGUAUAUCUAGAGUAUGGUAGAGGUGAGUGGAAUUUCAGGUGUAGCGGUGAAAUGCGUAGAGAUCUGAAGGAACAUCAGUGGCGAAGGCGACUCACUGGGCCAUUACUGACGCUGAGGUGCGAAAGCGUGGGUAGC
This 770-nucleotide ribosomal RNA is filed under the name uncultured bacterium. RNAcentral describes it as "bacterial SSU rRNA". It matches the Rfam family "Bacterial small subunit ribosomal RNA", at positions 8 to 769 of the family's 1533-position model. The record is from RNAcentral.